UGGGGAAUAUUGGACAAUGGGGGCAACCCUGAUCCAGCAAUGCCGCGUGUGUGAAGAAGGUCUUCGGAUUGUAAAGCACUUUCGACGGGGACGAUGAUGACGGUACCCGUAGAAGAAGCCCCGGCUAACUUCGUGCCAGCAGCCGCGGUAAUACGAAGGGGGCUAGCGUUGCUCGGAAUGACUGGGCGUAAAGGGCGUGUAGGCGGUUUACACAGUCAGAUGUGAGAUCCCCCGGGCUUAACCUGGGAGCUGCAUUUGAUACGUGUAGACUAGAGUGUGAGAGAGGGUUUGUGGAAUUCCCCAGUGUAGAGGUGAAAUUCGUAGAUAUU
Molecule: ribosomal RNA, 329 nt
Filed under: uncultured bacterium
Lineage: Bacteria
Description: partial 16S ribosomal RNA
Rfam family: Bacterial small subunit ribosomal RNA
Source: RNAcentral